GAUGGCAGAUGAAGGAAUGAUGGGAUCUCUCCGUGGAAGGAGGCUGGAAUGGGUGGAAAUCAUCGAGCCUCGGACCCGGGAGCGCAUGUACGCCAACCUGAUCACGGGGGAGUGCGUGUGGGACCCCCCCGCCGGCGUGCGGAUCAAACGCACCAAUGAGAACCAGUGGUGGGAGCUCUUCGACCCCAACACCUCCCGCUUCUACUACUACAAUGCCACCACGCAGAGGACGGUGUGGCACCGUCCCCAGAACUGCGACAUCAUCCCGCUGGCCAAGCUGCAGACGCUGAAGCAGAACACGGAGUCGCCGCGGGCUUCCACGGAAAACAGCCCCGGCAGGAGCAGCAAUGUCAGCAGGGAGGGAAGCACCAGCUCGUCCUUGGAGCAGGAGCUGGAAGGCAAUGAGAAGGUGCAGGAGCAGCGGUCGAGCCGCCAGUCCAGCCAGUAUUCCGUGGUGAAGGAGGAAACAGAAAGUUCGUCGCCUUCCGGAGUGUUUGAGAAGGAAUACGACAUUUAUCGGGAUUACAGCGCGGAAGGACAACUCCUGCACUACAGGACCUCAUCCCUCCGAUGGAACGCCGGCACCAAGGAGCGGAUGCUGAUCAAGGUGACGGAUCGGGAGCCCAGCUUCCUCCUCCACCAAGGCAACGGCUACACCCCGGAAAACCAACCGGGCUCCCGCUCCCGCCGGCCCUCGGGCGGCCAACAGUCGCCCAACCUCCAAACCUUCUCCUCGGAUGCUGACAACUCCGUCUUCUUCCCGGAGAGGAAGCAGUCGCCCUUCCUGAAGAGGGCCGAGCACGUGGGCAGCUGCUCGCCGCUGCUGGGCCGGGGCGAUUCCUUCUGCUCGCCGCUCCAAGCCCAGCACCGCAAACAUUCCAGCGAAUCCCAGCCCUCGUCGCCCCGCUACGCCUACGAGCCCCCGCUCUACGAGGAGCCCCCCAUGGAAUACCAGGCUCCCAUCUACGACGAGCCUCCUGUGGACAUGCAGUACGAAGCCAGCGGGAGCUACAAGGCCGGCUCGCCGCAGAAAUCGCCCAUCCGGAAGCCUCACCCUUUCCUUCAGUCGCCCAAGCAAGGCUCCAACUCGCCCUACCAGCAGUUGGUGCUCACCAAGCAGAAGUGUCCCGACCGCUUCAUGAGCCUGGAAUACAGCCCGGCCGGCAAGGAAUACGUCCGGCAGUUGGUCUACGUGGAGCAGUCGGGCUCCAGCCCCAAGAUGAAGACGGGCUUGAGGCACAAAUAUUCCCCCAACCCCAUCGGCGGCUCCUACUCGCUGCAGCACAGCCCCUGCCUGGUGCGGGACCAACGCCUGGAGAUCAAAUCGGGCGACUACAGCAGCAUGGAGGGACCCGACUUCUGCCCUGGCCCCACGGGCGCCCAGGUGGCCCAGGGCGAGGACUCCAUGUCGUGGUCCAGCCAGCAGGACACCUUGUCCUCCACCGGUUACUCGCCCUCCACCAGGAAGAGGAAAAGCCGGAAGCCUUCGGUGAACCACGACGCCAACGCCUCCUCCACGGACGGCUCGGGGGAGCGGGAGGCGUUGGGCGAGCUGGGUGAGGAACGAGCCACGCCGGGACCCAACAGGUCGCCGAUGAACCGGACGGAGAGCAAAGCGGCCGAGGCGGAGGCGGCGCGGGGCUUCCCGGAGCCGUUCCUGGCGCAGGCGCGCCUGGCGUGGGAAGCGCAGCAGGCCCACUACCACAUGAAGCAACGGAGCAGCUGGGAUUCCCAAAAGGACGGUUCGGGCUACGAGAGUGACGGAGCGCUCCCGCUGCCCAUGCCGGGCCCGGUGGUGCGAGCCUUCAGCGAGGACGAGGCGUUGGCGCAGCAGGAGAACAAGCACUGGAAGAGGAACACCUUCGAGAAGCUGGGCUUCCCCCAGAUCCUGCUGGAGAAAAGCGUCUCCGUCCAGACCAACCUGGCCUCCCCCGAGCCCUACCUACAUCCAUCUCAGUCCGAGGACCUCGGCGCCUGCGCGCAGUUCGAAAACAGCCGGCAGACGCGGAACAUGAUGCCGAGCGCCAGCUGCGUCUUCCCCACCUUCAACCUGCGCAAGCCCUCCUCGGAGACGGACAUUGAGAACUGGGCCUCCAAGCACUUCAACAAGCACACCCAAGGGCUCUUCCGACGGAAGGUCUCCAUCGCCAACAUGCUGGCCUGGAGCAGCGAAUCCAUCAAGAAACCCAUGAUCAUGACCAACGACCGCAACGUCAAGAAGGAGGCGUGCGAGAUCUUCAAGCUCAUCCAGAUGUACAUGGGCGACCGGCGGGCCAAGACGGACCAGCUCAACGUGGCCUUGGAGAUCGCCACCAAAGGUUGGAGCAUGCAGGGGCUGCGAGAUGAGCUCUACAUCCAGCUGUGCCGGCAGACCACCGAGAACUUCCGAUACGAGAGCCUGGCCCGCGGCUGGGAGCUCAUGGCCAUUUGUUUGGCCUUUUUCCCACCCACUCCCAAAUUCCAUUCCUACCUUGAAGGAUACAUUUACCGGCACAUGGAUCCGGUGAAUGACACCAAAGUUUCGCGGCACCUCCGGCACAUCCUGGCAAGGACCAAUCAGAAGAAACCCAAAUUGCGAAAGAAACCAAAGCCCCAGAGCGAGGAGAUCCCGGGGGUUGCCAUCAGCACUUAUGCCAAGUACUGCUACAACAAACUCCAGAAGGCGGCGCUGACCGGGGCCAAGAAGGGCCUGAAGAAGCCGAACAUUGAGGAGAUCCGUCAUGCCAAGAACGCCGUCUUCAACCCGUCCAUGUUCGGCAGCUCGCUGCAGGACAUCGUGGCCAUGCAGAAGGAACGGUACCCGGACCGGCAGCUGCCCUGGGUCCAGACCCGGCUCUCCGAGGAGGUCCUGGCACUCAACGGGGAUCAGACUGAGGGCAUCUUCAGGGUCCCCGGUGACAUUGACGAGGUCAACGCCCUCAAGCUGCAGGUGGACCAAUGGAAGAUCCCCACCGGCUUGGAGGACCCGCACGUUCCCGCGUCGCUGCUGAAGCUCUGGUACCGUGAGCUGGAGGAGCCGCUGAUCCCUCACGAGUUCUACGAGCAGUGCAUCUCCCACUAUGAGAACCCUGAGGCCGCCAUCGCUGUUGUCCACUCCCUGCCCCGGAUCAACAAAAUGGUGCUGUGCUACCUCAUCCGCUUCCUCCAGGUCUUCGUGCAGCCAGCCAACGUGGCCGUCACCAAGAUGGACGUCAAUAACCUGGCCAUGGUGAUGGCUCCCAACUGCCUGCGCUGCCAAUCAGACGACCCGCGGAUCAUCUUCGAGAACACGCGCAAGGAGAUGUCCUUCAUCCGUGUCCUCAUCCAGCACCUGGACACCAGCUUCAUGGAGGGCGUCCUAUAGCGGCCGCCACCGCGCUGUCCCCACCCCGCCACCGGCCCCCUGUCCCCUCCGAGGGUCAAAGUCCCCAGGUGGUGGCACCUAUCUCCACCAAGAACCAGGAGGCCCAAGAGGUUCUCCAACUUCACCACGUGGUGAGCUCCGUCUCCACCAAAAACCAGGAGGCCCAUGCAGUUCUUCGCCACGUGGUGAGCUCCAUCUCCAUCAAGAACUGGGAGGUCCGUGAGGUUCUUCAACUUUAUCACGUGGUGAGCUCCAUCUCCAUCAAGAAUCAGGAGGUUUGUGAGGUUCUUCAGCGCGUGGUGAGCUCCAUCUCCAUCACAAACCAGGAAGUCCAUGCGGUUCUACACCGCCUGGUGAGCUCCAUCUCCACCAAGAACUGGGAUGUCAAGGAGGUUCUCCAACUUCUCUGGGUGGUGAGCUCCAUCUCCAGCCAGACCUCAUGGACAGAGGGCAUCAAGCAAUUGUCUCCAUCCCUUCCUGCCCGGAUGUGGGGAUGAGGAGAAGUCCUUGAGGUCCAUCCCAACCUUCUGGCCAUGUCACUGCCUGGCUCUUCUCUGGGAGAGUCACGAGGAACAUCCCGGCUCUGUGGGGGUCUCCAAGGGGUUGGGAAAGUGGGAGAAGUUCACCUGGACACCAGGGGACCACGGUGACAAUUUUCCCCCACAGGGAAGAGACCUGAGAGGUCCCCAUGGGAGAGGUGGCCCGAGGGGGUCAUGGUGGCCAAUUGUCCAUCCUGGAGGAGAUGGGUGGGCUGGAUGUCCCCACAUGUCACGAUGUCCAUCCCAUCCCACACAUGUUGGCAUCACCAGGACCUGUCCCAGCACCCACUGGGUCCUUGUUGGACCUGUCCCAGGACCUCCAAUCUGCUCCUGCUUCUUCUGGGCCAAUCUUGGUGUCCAUCAUCAACUCCUGGACCCAUCUUGAGGUCCAUCAUUUCCUUCUGGUCCUAUAGGACCCAUCUUGGGGUCCAGCAUCUCCUCGUGGUCCUCCUGAGCCUAUCUUGGAAUCCAUCAUCAACUCCUGGACUGAUCUUGGGGUCAAACAUCUCCUACUCCUUCUGGGGGCCCAUCUUGGAGUCCAUCAUCUCAUCCUUAUCCUCCUGAACCCAUCUUAGUGUCCAUCAUCAGCUCCUGGAGCCAUCCUGGAGUCCGUCUUCUCUUCCUGGUCCUCCAAGUCUCACCUUGGUGCCCAUCUCCUCCAGGAUCCAUCCUGGUGUCCAUCAUCUCCUCCAGGACCCACGUGGUCACCCAUCUCCACCUGGUCCUGCCCAGCCCACCUCAGUGUCCCCAGUGUCCUCCAGGACCCAUCUUGGUGUCCCUGAUCUCCUCCUGGACCCACCUUGGUGCCCCCCAACCUCCUCCAAGACCCACCUGAGCACCAUCAUCUGUUCCAGGUCCCACCUGAGCACCCCCAACUCCCUCCAGGUCCACCCAAAUCUUCUCCAGGUCCCACCUUGGUGAUCCCAGAUCUUCCAGGACUCAUCCUGGUGCACCCCCACCUCAUCCAGAUCCUCCAGAUCCCACCUUGGUGUCCCCAAAUCUCCACCAGGUCCCACCUUGGUGACCCCAAAUCUCCUCCAGGUCCCCCAAAAUGGAGAAGUCCCCAAGGCCAGGAGGGUCUCAUUGGUGGGGGGUCCCCAAAAUGGGGUCCCAUGGGUGGGAGGUCCCCAAAAUGAAGAGGGCCCCAUCAUGGGGGGGGUUCCCCAAGAUCAUGGGGGGUCCCAUGGAGCGGGUCCCCAAAAUGAGGAUGGUCCCCAAAGCGGGAGGAGAUCCCAAAGUAGGAGAACCCAUGGGGGGGUUCCCAAGAUCCUGGGAGGGUCCCCAAGGUGGGGGAGAGGGUCCCAUGGGUGGGGUCCCCAAAGUGAGGGGUCCCACAGUGGGGAGGUCCCCAAGGUCCUGGAAGGGUCCCCAAAUUGGGGUGGGGUCCCAUGGAGGGGUUCCCAAGGUGAGACCCCAAAUUGGGGUGGGAGGGGUCCCCAAGGUCCUGAAAGGGUCCCCAAAGUGGGAGGGGAUCCCCAAAAUGGGGAGAUCCCAAAGUUGGGGGGGGUCCCAUGGAGGGGUCCCCAAGGUGAGACCCCAAAUUGGGGUGGGGGGGAUCCCCAAGGUCCUGGAAGGGUCCCCAAAGUUGGGGGGGAGCCCCAUGGAGGGGUUCUCAAGGUUGGGACCGACCCCAAAUUGGGGGUGGGGAUCCCCAGAUUGCUGUGGGGUCCCCAAGGUCCUGGAAGGGUCCCCAAAGUUGGGUGGGGUCCCAUGGAGGGGUCCCCAAGGUUGGGACCGACCCCAAAUUUGGGGGGGGGUCCCCAAAUUGGGGUGUGGGGGUCCCCAAACUGGGGGUGGUGGGGACAACCCAGCGCUACCUCCCAGCUCUGCUCACUGCCAGGGGACCCCUCCUUUUCCUCCUCUUCCUCUGCUUAAUUAAUUUUUAAUGAAUUAAUCAUUAAUUCCCCGUUCAUUAAUUUUCAAAUCAUUUCCUCUCCUUUUUUUUUUUUUUUUUCCGGCGGAUUUUUUUUUUUCUCCGUUUGUUUGUUUCGGUUUUUUUUUUU
RNA transcript from Poecile atricapillus (Black-capped chickadee), 5885 nucleotides. It is a transcript of the gene named Rho GTPase activating protein 39, with no coding region annotated. The transcript has 12 exons. The record is from RefSeq and is a predicted model, not a curated record. Lineage: Eukaryota; Metazoa; Chordata; Aves; Passeriformes; Paridae.